UACGGAGGAUGCGAGCGUUAUCCGGAUUUAUUGGGUUUAACGGGUGCGUAGGCGGACUGUCAAGUCAGCGGUAAAAUUGAGAGGCUCAACCUCUUCCCGCCGUUGAAACUGGUGGUCUUGAGUGGAUGAGAAGUACGCGGAAUGCGUGGUGUAGCGGUGAAAUGCAUAGAUAUCACGCAGAACUCCGAUUGCGAAGGCAGCGUACCGGCAUCCAACUGACGCUGAGGCACGAAAGCGUGGGGAUCAAACAGG
Molecule: ribosomal RNA, 252 nt
Filed under: uncultured bacterium
Lineage: Bacteria
Description: partial 16S ribosomal RNA
Rfam family: Bacterial small subunit ribosomal RNA
Source: RNAcentral